UGAAUGGCCUCUAACAUGAUUGCAUGUUUAGUUGGAUAGUCUAUUGGCCAGAAAAAAGGUUGGAGAGUCAUGGUUACUGUAAUAGUUGAGAGAGAGCCAGACGUGUUUGCUUUACCCUCAAUUCUCAAACCUCUUGAUUUUCUCUCUAGUUUCUGCUUCUUUUCAUGAUCAGAUCAUUGCCUUAAAUUUGAACCGCAACGCUCCGUUCGCUGAUUCGGGACUCGGAUCUUGCAACAAGUGGGCUCCACCUUCACGCUCACAUGUCUGUCUUUCUGUGACCCUUUUGCAUGGGAGCACUCCUCCCGCUCUUCUUUCGUGAAUUCUCUGAAAUCUCGCUUUUGUUUUGUUUUGGGUCGAUGCUUCCCUUAGGCGGCUCGUCUCUCUAAGUCCAAGCUCUCAACGUGUUGCUCUGCUUCGCUGCACAAUCGAUAGAGUCCCACCUCCCUUAGAUUUAGCACAAAGGAGUCGAAAUAAGGUGUGGGAUAAUGGGGGCCUCAAGAUCCAAGAUGGAGGAUGAUAAGGCACUUCAACUGUGCCAUGAAAGGAAGAAGUUUGUUAGACAAGCACUUGAUGGGCGAUGCUCACUAGCAGCUGCUCAUGUGUCAUAUGUCCAGUCACUGAAAAAUACAGGAACAACUUUGAGAAGAUUCAUAGAAACUGAAGCACCAAUUCAAUCUUCCUUGUACACUUCCACUAAUUCAACAGCAGAUCCCAUUGGUUUACCUGAGAAGACUCUUUCACAAUUCCCAGCCCCUUUGCAAUCUGUGUCUCGACGUCUUAAUGCAGUAGAAACCUUCUCCUCAUCUCCCUCUCCUCCUAGCUCUUGUAAGAUCCAAGCAAAACAUAUGAAAUUCAGCAGUUUCUCUUCUAGAAAGGUCAAAGAGAAGUCUCCUGUUCAUUCCGUAGGGAUAGUAACAUCAUCAGGUACACCGCAACAUACCAUGCCUGGUUCAAAUGAAAGGGCUGAAAGGUUAGCAUUUGAUGACUCUUCUCAUCCAGUUGGAAAUCAGCCCUGGGAUUACUUUGGUCUUUUUGAUCCUGUUCACCAUCAAUUUUCUUUUAUGGAAGGGAAAGGUGUGCGCCAAGAAAUGGGGAGUCCUGAUGAUAUAACCAGAUUAAAGGCUGAAGAGAAGGAUUCUUCUCAUGGAAAGGAAGACUCUCAGAAUUCUGAAGAUGAAUUUGGCAAUGAGCCUGACCCAAAUUCCUUGGUCCAAAGAUUUGAAAAUCUUCACAGAGUUAAUGACAAAACUGCAGUUAAUGAAUCACUUGCCCCAACCAAGCCUCUGACAGGGGAUCCUGAUUCUGAAGUUGAACUCAUGAAUGGAGAGAAGGGCAAUUCCCCUAAUUUAUCACCACUGGGAACAACAUCUGCCGUAGCUUUAGUUCGAACUAAAACGAAUAAAUCAGUGGAGAAAGAAAAUCAUAGUGAAAAUAAAGUUGCUCCAAAGGACUUGUUUUCUAGCAUGAAAGAUAUUGAAUUUCUAUUUACAAAAGCUUCAGAAUCUGGCAUGGAGGUUCCAAAAAUGCUUGGAGCAAAUAAGUUGCAUUUCCGACCGAUAUUCCCAGCAAAAGAAAGGGAAUCAUUGAUUGUAGCAGAUAGGCCUGUGACAUCUUUAAUAUUGAAGGCAUGUUUCUCAUGCGGGGAAGACCUGGGUCAAGUUCCGGAAGAACCUUCUCAAAACUUGGUUAAGUACUUAACUUGGCAUGGCACGGAAUCAUCUCGAUCUUCUUCUUCAAGGAACCCAUUAGGAGAAAACUCUAAAGAUGGUGUAGAGAACAUCACAAGUAAUAUCUUCGAUAAUUUCUGCAUGAUCUCGGGCAGCCAUGCAUCAACCUUGGAUAGACUGUAUGCAUGGGAAAGAAAGCUCUAUGAUGAAGUCAAGGCUAGUGGAUUGGUAAGUAAAAAAUAUGACAUGAAGUGUAAAAUCUUAAGACGCCUAGAAUCAAAAGGAGAAAAGAGCUCCACAAUUGAUAAAACUCGUGCUGUUGUCAAAGAUCUGCAUUCAAGAAUCAGAGUUGCAAUUCAGAGGAUAGAGUCUAUAUCAAAGAGGAUUGAGGAAUUGCGGGACAAAGAGCUUCAGCCACAACUUGAGGAGUUGAUUGAAGGUUCAAGUCGAAUGUGGGAAGUAAUGUCUGAAUGCCACAAGCUUCAAUUUCAGAUCAUGUCAACAGCCUAUUGUAACAGCCGUGCUAGAAUAGCCGUGCAAUCUGAAUUACGUAGGCAGAUGGCUGUUUAUCUUGAAAAUGAACUCCACACUCUGCAAUCAAGUUUUUCCAAGUGGACAGGAGCUCAAAAGUUUUACUUGGAGGCUCUAAAUGGAUGGCUUUACAAAUGUGUUUCUCUCCAGCAAAAAUCAUCAAACAAGAGAAAACGGAGGCUUCAACCUCCUCCAUUCAGGAACUAUGGCCCUCUAAUAUAUGCCACUUGCGGUGUCUGGUUAGAAAAGCUCGAUACUUUACCCUCCAAGGACGUUACUGAUUCUAUAAAGAGUUUAGCUAGUGAAAUUGCCCGCUUUUUACCACAUCAAGAGAAGAACCAGGGUAAAGGUGCCAAUAAUCCACGCACGACAUCCUGGAAGGUUGAAAAAGGUAGUGGAUCGGUGGAAAAUUUCUUUAGAGAUGACACUUCAGAGGAGAGGGUGUUGGGUUUAGAUCAAGUUCGAGCGAGCUUGAUCAGAUUUCUUGGUCAGCUAACUAAUUUUGCCAGAUCAUCUGUCAACAUGUAUGCAGAACUCACACAAACCAUUCAUGAUGCCAAGAGUCAUUAUCAUCGGUGAAAUUCUCAUUCUUCUGAUAGUCAGAGUUCUCAUUCUCAAUAAGGUAAUUCGAAUUCUCAGCCUCCAGACAAUCAACCCAUGUCUCGACCUCAAGUUUAAUCAGGAAAAAAAUCAAUCCAGAUGAACAAUGGAAGUCAUAAGAGUCACGUUGAAGUGUAAAAGCAAUUUGAACACAGGAGUGAACUUAAUGUUCAGAUACAAGCUCUAUGUACAUGGCAUCUGUACAUGUGGGAGUAAUCGUGAUGGUGGUGUUCCAUGUAACAAGAUAAUUAGGCAAAAGCUGUAAUUACUAGGCGCUGGUGGUGAGGAGGUUGUAUGUAGAGCUAGCAUGUGCCUAGUGCCUGUCUUCGGCUGACAUGUGGCAUUAGGAGAGGCUGAGACAAUAGACAAAUCAAUUUUGUAUCGAAGAAGGCUGUGGAUACCAAGGGGGGCUUCGUUUCAAGUACAUGCUGACUUUGUCUGAAUUUGUAUAUAAUAUAUUUUUGAC
Molecule: RNA transcript, 3264 nt
Organism: Prosopis cineraria
Lineage: Eukaryota; Viridiplantae; Streptophyta; Magnoliopsida; Fabales; Fabaceae
Gene name: protein ALTERED PHOSPHATE STARVATION RESPONSE 1-like
Exons: 7
Source: RefSeq, a predicted model, not a curated record